CUGGUGUUGAAGGCCCUGCAAAGCAGCAUCGCGGUGGCGGAGCGUCGUUUGCGACGCCCAACACACAAAACAAGCGGUGAAUGCUUUGGGGUGGGGUGACUGCGUACCUUUUGUAUAAUGGGUCAGCGACUUAUAUUCUGUAGCAAGGUUAACCGAAUAGGGGAGCCGGAGGGAAACCGAGUCUUAAUUGGGCGUUAAGUUGCAGGGUAUAGACCCGAAACCCGGUGAUCUAGCCAUGGGCAGGUUGAAGGUUGGGUAACACUAACUGGAGGACCGAACCGACUAAUGUUGAAAAAUUAGCGGAUGACCUGUGGCUGGGGGUGAAAGGCCAAUCAAACCGGGAGAUAGCUGGUUCUCCCCGAAAGCUAUUUAGGUAGCGCCUCGUGAAUUCAUCUCCGGGGGUAGAGCACUGUUUCGGCUAGGGGGCCAUCCCGGCUUACCAACCCGAUGCAAACUGCGAAUACCGGAGAAUGUUAUCACGGGAGACACACGGCGGGUGCUAACGUCCGUCGUGAAGAGGGAAACAACCCAGACCGCCAGCUAAGGUCCCAAAGUCAUGGUUAAGUGGGAAACGAUGUGGGAAGGCCCAGACAGCCAGGAUGUUGGCUUAGAAGCAGCCAUCAUUUAAAGAAAGCGUAAUAGCUCACUGGUCGAGUCGGCCUGCGCGGAAGAUGUAACGGGGCUAAACCAU
Molecule: ribosomal RNA, 691 nt
Filed under: Salmonella enterica
Lineage: Bacteria; Pseudomonadati; Pseudomonadota; Gammaproteobacteria; Enterobacterales; Enterobacteriaceae
Also listed under: 2 other names
Description: partial 23S ribosomal RNA
Rfam family: Bacterial large subunit ribosomal RNA
Source: RNAcentral